GGUGAACCUGCGGAAGGAUCAUAGUUAUGGAGAGGUCAGCCUUCACAGGCCCCUCGUCACAAUUUGGAUGCAAUGCGUUAACUCGCUAGUCUUGGUCACUCUGGUGGUCUUGACAAAACUUUGUAAUCCACCUUAUGCCUAUUUSAAAUACAAGAGAAUUACAACCAGUAGCGUUGGAUCCCUUGGCACGUCAUUCGAUGAAGACCGUUGCAAAAUGCGAUAAGUGGUGUGAUAUGCAAGUCCAAAACUUAUACGUGAACCAUCGAAUCGUUGAACGCACUGCAUCGAGCCUUACCCAGGAACGAUACGCCCCAUUGAGCGUCAUUAUGUCUUCGUGACUGUCAUUUAUUUGGCCUGUCCGGGUUCGGGAUUCACAGCUUUGAUUAGCUGCGCUUCCUUAAAUACAUGGAUGCACUACAGCUGAAGGUGUCCUUGUCAUAAAUGUCGAGGUUUUCCAAAAGCUUAGAUGCAAGAUUGCUCUUGUGCAGAGUAAUCAAAUGCGACCACUUCAUUGCGGAAGCAGCUUCUAAACAUGACCUCACGGGGGUGGGAUGACCCGCUAGACUUAAGCAUAUUAAUCAGCGGAGGAAAAGAAACUAACAAGGAUUCCCCUAGUAACUGCGAGUGA
RNAcentral lists this ribosomal RNA (628 nucleotides) under uncultured Tulasnella. Its description in RNAcentral is "eukaryotic LSU rRNA". The stretch from base 163 to 324 matches the Rfam family "5.8S ribosomal RNA". Lineage: Eukaryota; Fungi; Basidiomycota; Agaricomycetes; Cantharellales; Tulasnellaceae. The record is from RNAcentral.